AUACGGAGGAUGCAAGCGUUAUCCGGAUUUAUUGGGUUUAAAGGGUGCGUAGGCGGUUUGCUAAGCGGGAGGUGAAAUGCCGGCGCUCAACGUCGGAAGUGCCUCCCGAACUGGUGGACUGGAAUGACUCUGCCGUGGGAGGAAUGUGUAGUGUAGCGGUGAAAUGCUUAGAGAUUACACAGAACACCGAUUGCGAAGGCAUCUCACGAAGGGUUGAUUGACGCUGAGGCACGAAAGCGUGGGGAUCAAACAGGAUUAGAUACCCUGGUAGUCCACGCAGUAAACGAUGAUGGCUAACCGCUGGUUUAUUCGGAUCAGUGGCCAAGCGAAAGCGAUAAGCCAUCCACCUGGGGAGUACGACCGCAGGGUUGAAACUCAAAUGAAUUGGCGGGG
This 393-nucleotide ribosomal RNA is filed under the name uncultured bacterium. RNAcentral's name for it is "partial 16S ribosomal RNA". It matches the Rfam family "Bacterial small subunit ribosomal RNA", at positions 523 to 918 of the family's 1533-position model. The record is from RNAcentral.